ACGCUGGCGGCGUGCUUAACACAUGCAAGUCGAACGAACCUUCGGGUUAGUGGCGGACGGGUGAGUAACGCGUGGGAAUCUGCCCUCAGGAGGGGGAUAACGGUUGGAAACGGCCGCUAAUACCCCAUAUGCCGAGAGGUGAAAUGAAUUUCGCCUGAGGAUGAGCCCGCGUCUGAUUAGCUAGUUGGUGAGGUAAGAGCUCACCAAGGCAUCGAUCAGUAGCUGGUCUGAGAGGAUGAUCAGCCACACUGGGACUGAGACACGGCCCAGACUCCUACGGGAGGCAGCAGUGGGGAAUUUUCCGCAAUGGGCGAAAGCCUGACGGAGCAACGCCGCGUGAGGGAUGAAGGCCUCUGGGCUGUAAACCUCUUUUAUCAAGGAAGAAGAUCUGACGGUACU
RNAcentral lists this ribosomal RNA (399 nucleotides) under uncultured cyanobacterium. RNAcentral describes it as "bacterial SSU rRNA". It matches the Rfam family "Bacterial small subunit ribosomal RNA", at positions 33 to 479 of the family's 1533-position model. The record is from RNAcentral. Lineage: Bacteria; Bacillati; Cyanobacteriota.